This 156-nucleotide ribosomal RNA is filed under the name uncultured bacterium. RNAcentral describes it as "partial 16S ribosomal RNA". It matches the Rfam family "Bacterial small subunit ribosomal RNA", at positions 355 to 507 of the family's 1533-position model. The record is from RNAcentral.
UGAGGAAUAUUGGUCAAUGGUCGCAAGACUGAACCAGCCAUGCCGCGUGCAGGNAUGAAGCAUCUAUGGUGUGUAAACUGCUUUUGUACGGGAAGAAACACCUCUUCGUGAAGAGGCUUGACGGUACCGUAAGAAUAAGGAUCGGCUAACUCCGUG